RNAcentral lists this ribosomal RNA (447 nucleotides) under uncultured bacterium. RNAcentral's name for it is "partial 16S ribosomal RNA". It matches the Rfam family "Bacterial small subunit ribosomal RNA", at positions 29 to 523 of the family's 1533-position model. The record is from RNAcentral.
AACGAACGCUGGCGGCAGGCUUAACACAUGCAAGUCGAGCGCCCCGCAAGGGGAGCGGCAGACGGGUGAGUAACGCGUGGGAACGUGCCCUUUGGUUCGGAACAACUCCGGGAAACUGGAGCUAAUACCGGAUAAGCACUUCGGGGGAAAGAUUUAUCGCCAAAGGAUCGGCCCGCGUCUGAUUAGCUAGUUGGUGAGGUUAUGGCUCACCAAGGCGACGAUCAGUAGCUGGUCUGAGCAGUUGAUCAGGCACACUGGGACUGAGACACGGCCCAGGCUCCUACGGGAGGCAGCAGUGGGGAAGAUUGGACAAUGGGCGCAAGCCUGAUCCAGCCAUGCCGCGUGAGUGAUGAAGGCCUUAGGGUUGCAAAGCUCUUUUGUCCGGGAAGAUAAUGACUGUACCGGAAGAAUAAGCCCCGGCUAACUUCGUGCCAGCCGCCGCGGUAA